RNAcentral lists this small nuclear RNA (103 nucleotides) under Solanum lycopersicum (tomato). The record is from RNAcentral. RNAcentral also lists the same sequence under 1 other name. Lineage: Eukaryota; Viridiplantae; Streptophyta; Magnoliopsida; Solanales; Solanaceae.
UUUUCAUUUUGGGAUAUCCAAUAAAAUUGGAAUGAUACAGAGAAAAUUAGCAUUACUGUUGUGCAAGUAUGACACAUGUCUGUUUCAAUUUGACUGAGGUUUA